UAAAAAAUAAAUUGAAAGUUCGGACGGCAAAGUGGAACAAAAUUCAGGGGCCAUGGUUAUUAUUUCCACCUAUUUUUUAAUAGUUGUGGAAUAAAAUAAGAAAUACAUCACGACCCCAAAUAAAUAAGCCAUUGGCUAUUAGAAUUGAAAAUGGUGACAAUGGUAAUCGACAAAGGUGGGAGGUAGAAAAGUAGAAGAAAAUGUAGUUAGCCAACAUUACUAUUGCGGUUAUGCCAAAAAAAAAAAAAAAAAAAAAAAAAGAAGAUAAAAAGUCACAGCUCACUAUAAGAGAUAUAAUCAACUAUCCACAAAGACUAUGCUAGGACUUAGGUAGUCUAUCUUUUCUCUAACCAAC
This 355-nucleotide long non-coding RNA is filed under the name Prunus persica (peach). RNAcentral's name for it is "long non-coding RNA (PPER_LNC004310)". The record is from RNAcentral. Lineage: Eukaryota; Viridiplantae; Streptophyta; Magnoliopsida; Rosales; Rosaceae.